UCGGCUAUGCGUUUUAAUUUUUGACUCUAUUUGUUGUGGUGCUAUGAGUUUUUAGUUUGUUUUUAUGUUGUUUUUUGUAAAAUAUUUUGAUUUUUUUUUAGUUUCUUGUGGUAUCAAAAAUUUGUUUUUUGAACUGGAUUAGUACCCAGGUAAUCAAAAUUUAAUAAUUCGGGAGUAAAGUUUUGUUUAAACCGAAAAAAUAUUGACUGACUUUAGAUUUUUCUUUGGAACAUGUGAUUUGCUGGAGAGCCCUCUUUUUUGGUGAAUUUUGUUGGCACAUGUAUGAUUGUUUAGUUUUUAUUUUAUUUUGUAAUGCUUUGUUGUUUUGGCAUUAAAAACAGAUAUAUAUUUGGCUUAUGAAUUUAUGUUUCAUGUGUUACUAUUAUGAAUUUUUUUUGGAUUAGUUUUUUAUUUUUUUUUGAAAUUGGAAAAGAAAGUAAUUUUUUUUUAAUGUUUUAAUGAAUUUAAUAAAUAAGGUGGUACAAACCAUCCGUCAAUGGCCUAAAGGGGCGUAAGUUG
Molecule: non-coding RNA, 519 nt
Filed under: Onchocerca ochengi
Lineage: Eukaryota; Metazoa; Nematoda; Chromadorea; Rhabditida; Onchocercidae
Source: RNAcentral